UCCGAGUUGACCCCGGCAGUCUCCUAUGAGUCCCCGGCAUGACCCGCUGGCAACAUAGGACGAGGGUUGCGCUCGUUGCGGGACUUAACCCAACAUCUCACGACACGAGCUGACGACAGCCAUGCACCACCUGUAUACCGACCUUGCGGGGCACCUAUCUCUAGGUGUUUCCGGCAUAUGUCAAACCCAGGUAAGGUUCUUCGCGUUGCAUCGAAUUAAAGAACAUGCUCCGCUGCUUGUGCGGGCCCCCGUCAAUUCUUUUGAGUUUCACCGUUGCCGGCGUACUCCCCAGGUGGAUUACUUAUCGCUUUCGCUAAGCCACUAAAAGUUGCCCUCUAGCAGCGAGUAAUCAUCGUUUACAGUGCGGACUAC
RNAcentral lists this unclassified non-coding RNA (372 nucleotides) under uncultured bacterium. Its description in RNAcentral is "contains 16S-23S intergenic spacer region". The record is from RNAcentral.